CCAAGAUAAACUCACCAUACCAAAAACUCUGAGGGUGGCCACAAAAAGGACGACUGAAAAAGUCCAAAAAUAGCUUUCACUUAACCCAUUUUCUCCUUCACUUCACCCUUUUGAUAACGAUUUCUUCUUUCAAUUAUGAAUUUCCUUUUCCAAAUUCCCAAUCACUAAACCCUAUUCAUCAAUUAACAACCAUGGUUCCUCCGGCGACGCGAUCGCCGAACCCUAAGAAACCCAACAAUUCCUCAGUUAUGUCCUCUCCCAGUACGAUCCAUCCGCGGUACCAUACUCCGAAGACACAAAACCGUUCACCACCAU
This 315-nucleotide long non-coding RNA is filed under the name Lathyrus oleraceus (garden pea). Its description in RNAcentral is "Pisum sativum (pea) long non-coding RNA (PSAT_LNC026338)". Lineage: Eukaryota; Viridiplantae; Streptophyta; Magnoliopsida; Fabales; Fabaceae. The record is from RNAcentral.